This 778-nucleotide ribosomal RNA is filed under the name Bithia sp. 1 HNL-2023a. RNAcentral's name for it is "12S ribosomal RNA". Lineage: Eukaryota; Metazoa; Arthropoda; Insecta; Diptera; Tachinidae. The record is from RNAcentral.
AAUAAGUUUUAUUUUGGCUUAAUAGUUUAUUAUUUAUUUAAUUUAUAUGUAAAUUUUUGUAAAUAUUUGUUUAUUUUAAAAAUGGGUAAAGUUAUUUAAUUGCAAUAAUUAAUAUUAUUAAUUAAAGAAAUUUAGAAAUAGUUAUAUAAUAUAGUUUUGACUAAAUUUGUGCCAGCAGUCGCGGUUAUACAAAUAAUACAAAUAAAUUAUUUUAAUUAAAGUUAAAUUAAUUAUAAAAAUUUUAAAUUGAAUUUAUUAAGUGAAAUUUUUAAAUUUAUUAGUUUUUAAAUGUAAUUGAAACUUGAAAAUUUUAAGUAUAAACUAGGAUUAGAUACCCUAUUAUUUAAAAUGUAUUUGUAAAAUUAAGGUAGUAAUAGUUAUGUUCUUUAAACUUAAAAAAUUUGGCGGUAUUUUAGUCUAUUCAGAGGAACCUGUUUUAUAAUCGAUAAUCCACGAUGGACCUUUCUUUAAUUUGUUAACAGUUUAUAUACCGUUGUUAUUAGAAUAUUUUAUAAGAAUGAUAAUUUUCAUAAUUUUAAAAUAGAAAAUAUAUCAGAUCAAGGUGUAGCUUAUAUUUAAGUAAUAAUGGGUUACAAUAAAGUAAUUUAAAAUGAAUAUAAAUUUGAAAUAUUUAUUGAAGGUGGAUUUGGUAGUAAAAUUAUAUAGAUUAAUAAUUUGACUUUAGCUCUAAAAUAUGUACAUAUCGCCCGUCACUCUUUCUUUUAAAGUAAGAUAAGUCGUAACAUAGUAGAUGUACUGGAAAGUGUGUCUAGAAUGC